AUACGGAGGGUGCAAGCGUUGUUCGGAAUUAUUGGGCGUAAAGAGCAUGUAGGCGGACUGUUAAGUCUGGUGUGAAAGCCCGGGGCUCAACCCCGGAAGUGCAUUGGAUACUGGCAGUCUUGAGUAUGGGAGAGGAAAGUGGAAUUCCGAGUGUAGGAGUGAAAUCCGUAGAUAUUCGGAGGAACACCAGUGGCGAAGGCGGCUUUCUGGACCAAUACUGACGCUGAGAUGCGAAAGCGUGGGGAGCGAACAGGAGUAGAAACCCUAGUAGUCC
RNAcentral lists this ribosomal RNA (274 nucleotides) under uncultured bacterium. RNAcentral's name for it is "partial 16S ribosomal RNA". It matches the Rfam family "Bacterial small subunit ribosomal RNA", at positions 523 to 796 of the family's 1533-position model. The record is from RNAcentral.